RNAcentral lists this long non-coding RNA (1302 nucleotides) under Mytilus galloprovincialis (Mediterranean mussel). Lineage: Eukaryota; Metazoa; Mollusca; Bivalvia; Mytilida; Mytilidae. The record is from RNAcentral.
ACAGCUUCAAUCCAAUAACAAGAAAAAAUCUGCUAUAGAGAUGUUAGAGUAAAUGCAUUUUGACAAUUCCAUACCUUUGAAAGAUGACAUUUGUUGACAUAAAUUAAUACUUAGUAAAAUACAGCAAUAAAAGAACAGUUCCUUGAACAAUUCUGAUCUUCAUUCUAAAGUUCAAAAUGAUUCAAGUGAGCUAUAGUUCUGUAUCCCUUGAGCUAGGUUAUUGUCAAGAACCAUUCUUUCUACGAAUGAACACUUGGUGAACAGUCUGACCUAAACAUCCCCUCACUCUAAAAACUAGAUCAGUUACUUAACACAUGUCAUAUCUCUAAUCUAUGUAGGUCUAUAUAUUACUGGUAAAAAUGUCACUCAUUAAACAAAUGUAACAAAAAUAUAUAAUAAAAAAUAUCAUAAUUAGACAGACAAUAAUGUGUAUGACAAAAUUACAAAACAAUUAUACUCUAGUAAAUAUAUUCAUAUUUUUAUUAUAGUAAAUCAAAGCGUGUCUGACAGCAUUUUUCUUUCACCUAACCAUGUUUAUUUUAUUUUAGAUCAUGUCUUGUGUGUGACUUUUUGGAAACAGGUAAUAUCCCCUGAAAUUAUUAAAUUGAUUGGCCGUCAAGACUUAUUUUUUCAUUCAUGGAAAGGUUAUUUCAUUUUUAGGGACAAAGAUACAAAUGUUGACAGUAAAUUGAUAUUAUUUCUGUCCCUGCCAAUAGAUAUAUGACAUACCUUGACACUGAUGUCUGUUCUUUAGUAUUUUUAUUUUAAUGAAAUGUAUCACUUGUUUUCACUUUCCUUGCAAUUCCUUCAAAUAUGUAACUUAUUUUUAUUCAGUUGUAAUCCAAUAAUGAGUAGCAGAUCAAGUUUGGAUUUUGGUUUUGACAAACACCUCUCCAACAAAAUUAUGAGUUAUUGAUUUAGAAAACUUUAUAUUAUUCCAACUUCUUUUUCACUAUGCUUUGCAUCUUGAACUAAUUUAGUUUAGUAUAUUGACCAGUUACAGACCAACUAUGUAUUUCAUACCUAUGACUAAAACUUGAUCAGGUGAGGUUUUGAUUUCAUGAAUUUCUGUCUAUCUAAAUUAAUCUUACCACACCUAAUUAAACAUAAUACUUUAGCAAUCAGAGCGUAUUCUCAAUACAAUGCAAUAAAAUAUAUACUAUAUAUUCAUUGGAAAAACAAUUUAAUUCAUGUAGUGAAAUAUGCAAUAUAAUGAAAAAAACUACUCCACAAGAAAUGUGUAGUGUAUCUACAAAACCAUAUCAACAUGUACAUACCAAAUCACUAAAAAUUGUUAUAAAU